RNAcentral lists this transfer RNA (67 nucleotides) under Opistoplatys sp. HL-2013. RNAcentral's name for it is "tRNA-Phe". The record is from RNAcentral. Lineage: Eukaryota; Metazoa; Arthropoda; Insecta; Hemiptera; Reduviidae.
AUUUAAAUAGCUUAAUUAAAAGCGUAGUAUUGAAGAUACUAAUAUAAGAUUUUAUUCUUUUUAAAUA